UCGAAACGGGUUGAUAGAAAAUAGUAGAAUGGAUGUGUAAAAAACCAAGUUGUCUAACUUAGAAAAUGUUGUCAUUCUAAGUAUGGAAUUUUGAAAGAAUAAUGAACAUGAUGUAAAUACAUAAUUAUGCAUACUAGAAGCUCAUGUAUGACUUUUGUGAUGAUGGAAUGAUAAAUUGUUAGAUUGAUUAGCAUUGUAGUAUUAUGAUACAUGUUGAACUCGUUAAGCGAUUGACACGUGAAUAGAAGUGUGAUUAGUGAUGUGUAUUAUUAUGUAUACUAACUAUUGAAUGGAUGUAAUGGAAUGAGAUAAUAGGAACGUGUCAAGGAGAGCUCAAGCAUAGGAGGAUAACGGGUCAAAAUAAGGCAAGGUGACAAAUACACUUAUUGGAGUACUCAAGGUCGCACGGACUUGACAUCAUUAUGAAGUAAAUGAGGAUUGAAGAUCGGGUCAAAGAGCGAGGAUUGUACGGGAAGGGUAGUCACAUAACUGGUGAUUU
Molecule: long non-coding RNA, 499 nt
Filed under: Helianthus annuus (common sunflower)
Lineage: Eukaryota; Viridiplantae; Streptophyta; Magnoliopsida; Asterales; Asteraceae
Source: RNAcentral